AUUGAACGCUGGCGGCAGGCCUAACACAUGCAAGUCGAACGAGGGGCGGACGGGGGAGUAAUGUAUGGGAAACUGCACGAUGGAGGGGGAUAACUACUGGAAACGGUAGCUAAUACCGCAUACCAUCGGAUGUUCCCAGAUGGGAUUAGCUCGUGGGUGGAGUACAGGCUCACCUAGGCGACGAUCCCUAGCUGGUCUGAGAGGCUGACCAGCCACACUGGAACUGAGCCACGGUCCAGACUCCUACGGGAGGCAGCAGUGGGGAAUAUUGCACAAUGGGCGCAAGCCUGAUGCAGCCAUGCCGCGUGUAUGAAGAAGGCCUUCGGGUUGUAAAGUACUUUCAGCGGGGAGGCGUUACCCGCAGAAGAAGCACCGGCUAACUCCGUGCCAGCAGCCGCGGUAAGUC
Molecule: ribosomal RNA, 406 nt
Filed under: uncultured bacterium
Lineage: Bacteria
Description: partial 16S ribosomal RNA
Rfam family: Bacterial small subunit ribosomal RNA
Source: RNAcentral